This 635-nucleotide long non-coding RNA is filed under the name Cyanistes caeruleus (blue tit). RNAcentral's name for it is "lncRNA (ENSCCEG00000021497.1)". The record is from RNAcentral. Lineage: Eukaryota; Metazoa; Chordata; Aves; Passeriformes; Paridae.
GUCAGGUCUAAGCUAGAGCUGAAUCAGCUGCAGGUAGGAGAUAAAAGGCACAAUCCAUACCCCACUGAAGUGAAUUGAAUGCUUCCCAGCAGAUCUAAGGCUUUAAUAUUUGCCAAAAGAUUUUGAUUGUGUGUGGUAAGAUUUUUUUAUUUUUAUUUUUAAUUUCAGUAAUUAUUAGAAACAUCAUUCAUUUACAUAUGUUUAUAAAAGAAGAAAUGUGUUGUGGAAGUCACUGUGUUGAUGCCAGAUCUUGGUGCCUAAGCCCUGGGUGUUUUGGAGAGUCCAAAAGCGCCUGUUACCUUGUGAGGCUGUGCUCAUCAAUACUUGUCACUUCCUCUGCGCCCUGCAGCCCAGCCAAGCCCUGUGGAUUUGAACCAGAUUAUAUCAUCUUACUUACACUGUGAGACAAGAAUAAUUAUUGAAAAUUAAGAGCUCUACAGCUCUGAGACACCACCUGUACCUGUGGAAAAGGGCUUUAAUCCUACACUGCAUCCUCAGUGCAGGUUUGGAGUGAUUUCGCACAAGAUCGUCCACCUUCUCUGUGCUGCUGUUUGUUAUUGAGCAAAGCAUCAAGUAGCAGGUUUGAUUUCUUAAAGAGAUGCAUUUUUCUUUUGACAAAAGUGGAACUGUUUGGU